UCUGUGCAGCUCCUCGUUCAAACCCACUGGAACUGUUCUGGUUGCGAGGCAGGAAGCAGCUGGCUCGUGUAGCCAAUCCAGGAACGCUAGCAUGGCGGGGACGGAAGGCGAGUUCGGCAUGAAGCAGUUCGAGUACUGGACCAACCGUUGGAACAACGGGGACACGCCGUGGCAACGUGACGGAGUCUAUCCACUUCUAGAGAAGAACCAGGACGUCAUUUUGGCGGAAAAACAGGAUGCCCAGGUCUACGUCCCGAUGUGUGGAAAGGCGGCCGAUUUGAAAUGGUUCUACGACAAGGGACAUCGCGUCGUUGGCGUGGAGUUCAUCGAGGCGGUUGCCCGGAGCUUUUUCGUCGACAACAGCCUUCCUUUCGAUGAAGCCGAGUGCCCUGUACUCAAGUGCAAGAUAUUUCAGACUCCCGACAAGAGGUUGCGAAUAUUCGUCUGCAACGUCUUUGACUUCAACAAGUCCUGCGCCGGAACCAUGGACAUUGUGUGGGAUAGAGGAGGAUUGAGCUCAAUCGACGUGGAACUCAGAGACAGAUACGUCACCUUGAUGAAGUCAUUGCUGUCACCAAACUUCUCCUACGCUUUGUGGUCCACCGUCUAUGAUGAUAGUACUUUCAAUGAUUUUCCCACAAGUAUGCCGGAGGGAGUUCUUCGGGAGCUGUUUGCGGGGAAAGGUAUGAAGCUGCGUCUCAUCGAUUCGAGAAGCCCGAGUUCGCGUUCUCACUUCAAAUCCGGCACUGUUAACCUCUGGCACUUGACGGAAUGAGGGCAAGACCUGGCCUCGGCAGCAUCUGCAGCGACCACUUCCACCACAACCGGAUUGUCCCGCAUCGCGAGAGAGUUGUCUCUCGCUCCAUAAUCCCGCUCUGUCGAUCAGAUACCACCUGGAAGACAAAGCCUGCCUCGUUGCUCACCAAACGUUAUCACCGGUGGAUCCAGCCAGAGCCACCUACUUUGCAUCACCUUCGCAGCCAGUAAGCCUUGGAGCAUCUAACAACGAACACGACGAUGGGGCCAAAUAAACUACUUCAAGAGCGCACCAAGAUCACGUUCGUCGUGUUAGAAACGUGCUUUCACCAAUGCUCUUCCUGAAGAGAUUGCCCCAUGCGUCUACGCUUGCGAUGGCUAAACGGCAAACACACUGCUUUGUUCCCGGAGACAUCAGGAGGCACGUUUCUGCGAGAAAGAAAAGAGAAGAAAGUAUCCCUCUGCGCCGUUCCGGACGAC
RNAcentral lists this unclassified non-coding RNA (1236 nucleotides) under Ixodes scapularis (black-legged tick). Its description in RNAcentral is "thiopurine S-methyltransferase, transcript variant X3". Lineage: Eukaryota; Metazoa; Arthropoda; Arachnida; Ixodida; Ixodidae. The record is from RNAcentral.